RNAcentral lists this ribosomal RNA (102 nucleotides) under Marasmius pseudopurpureostriatus. Its description in RNAcentral is "partial large subunit ribosomal RNA". It matches the Rfam family "Eukaryotic large subunit ribosomal RNA", at positions 1 to 99 of the family's 3401-position model. Lineage: Eukaryota; Fungi; Basidiomycota; Agaricomycetes; Agaricales; Marasmiaceae. The record is from RNAcentral.
UUUUGGCCUCAAAUCAGGUAGGACUACCCGCUGAACUUAAGCAUAUCAAUAAGCGGAGGAAAAGAAACUAACAAGGAUUCCCCUAGUAACUGCGAGUGAAAG